GGGCAUUUGGUCUAGUGGUAAGAUUCUUGCUUUGGGUGCGAGAGGUCCCAAGUUCGAUUCUCGGAAUGCCCG
RNAcentral lists this transfer RNA (72 nucleotides) under Salvia splendens (bonfire salvia). It matches the Rfam family "tRNA". From Rfam's summary of the family: Transfer RNA (tRNA) molecules are approximately 80 nucleotides in length. Their secondary structure includes four short double-helical elements and three loops (D, anti-codon, and T loops). The record is from Rfam by way of RNAcentral. Lineage: Eukaryota; Viridiplantae; Streptophyta; Magnoliopsida; Lamiales; Lamiaceae.